RNAcentral lists this transfer RNA (71 nucleotides) under Verrucomicrobiales bacterium. RNAcentral's name for it is "tRNA-Gly". It matches the Rfam family "tRNA". Rfam says of the family: Transfer RNA (tRNA) molecules are approximately 80 nucleotides in length. Their secondary structure includes four short double-helical elements and three loops (D, anti-codon, and T loops). The record is from RNAcentral. Lineage: Bacteria; Pseudomonadati; Verrucomicrobiota; Verrucomicrobiia; Verrucomicrobiales.
GCGCCCGUAGUUUAAUGGUAGAACAUGAGCUUCCCAAGCUUGUGGCGAGGGUUCGAUUCCCUCUGGGCGCA